CAAAUCGGAAUUCCCUUCCGAUGCACACUCGUUCACUCACUCACACCCUCGCUCUAACCCCGUCUGGCUCCCAGACACUCACUCACUCUCUCUCUCUCUCUCUCUCUCUCUCUCUUUCUUUCACACACUUGCACACAUGGUGUCUGCGAGGCUGCCGGACGCUCCCUCUGAAAACUCACUGCGAUCUUCAGGAUUCUCUCAGUCUCUGAGUUUUAGGAAGGGAGAGUGGGAAAAAGUGCAAAAAAAGUAACAGUGUGUGCUGGUGUUUCUUUCUGGUCUGUAUCAGUGGGCUGGUCUCCUGUGCCUGCUGUGCUGAUAAUCAGUGUCUCUCUUCAGCUGGCUCAGUUCAGCAGGAACAGGGGCCUGGUCUUGCCAACAUAACACCUUAGAGAUACACACACACACACACACACACACAGAUGCACGCCACCAGCCUACAUUCUGAGAAAAUCCACUCUCCGGCACCUUCCACAGCUGGGAUCCAGAGCGAGGUGGAUAUAUACAGUUUAUUGAAGUUACGUAUUAAUGUGAUCAUAUGUGAUAAUACGAAUGUAGACGACUAAUUAUGGGCUGGCGCCAGUGACUUGUCCUGUGACCUCAAUAAAACCGAGACAUCAAUAAAAGCUAAAAGGCUCCAA
Long non-coding RNA from Neoarius graeffei (lesser salmon catfish), 638 nucleotides. RefSeq lists it as uncharacterized. NCBI's taxonomy places the organism in Eukaryota, Metazoa, Chordata, Actinopteri, Siluriformes, Ariidae. The transcript has 2 exons. The record is from RefSeq and is a predicted model, not a curated record.